GGGGCUGUGGGCCAACUUGGUUAAGCUUUGCGCUUAGGGAGCGUAAGAUCCUGGUUCAAAUCCAGGCAGCCUCA
Molecule: transfer RNA, 74 nt
Filed under: Nanobdellota archaeon
Lineage: Archaea; Nanobdellati; Nanobdellota
Description: tRNA-Pro
Rfam family: tRNA
About the family: Transfer RNA (tRNA) molecules are approximately 80 nucleotides in length. Their secondary structure includes four short double-helical elements and three loops (D, anti-codon, and T loops).
Source: RNAcentral